CUCCUACGGGACGCAGCAGUGGGGAAUUUUGGACAAUGGGCGCAAGCCUGAUCCAGCAAUGCCGCGUGAGUGAAGAAGGCCUUCGGGUUGUAAAGCUCUUUUGUCAGGGAAGAAACGGGUGGGGCUAAUAUCCUCAUCUAAUGACGGUACCUGAAGAAUAAGCACCGGCUAACUACGUGCCAGCAGCCGCGGUAAUACGUAGGGUGCAAGCGUUAAUCGGAAUUACUGGGCGUAAAGCGUGCGCAGGCGGUUUUGUAAGUCUGUCGUGAAAUCCCCGGGCUUAACCUGGGAAUGGCGAUGGAGACUGCAAGGCUAGAAUCUGGCAGAGGGGGGUAGAAUUCCACGUGUAGCAGUGAAAUGCGUAGAGAUGUGGAGGAACCCCGAUGGCGAAGGCAGCCCCCUGGGUCAAGAUUGACGCUCAUGCACGAAAGCGUGGGGAGCAAACAGGAUUAGAUACCCUGGUAGUCCACGCCCUAAACGAUGUCUACUAGUUGUCGGGUCUUAAUUGACUUGGUAACGCAGCUAACGCGUGAAGUAGACCGCCUGGGAUACUCAAUGCC
Molecule: ribosomal RNA, 560 nt
Filed under: Pseudoduganella buxea
Lineage: Bacteria; Pseudomonadati; Pseudomonadota; Betaproteobacteria; Burkholderiales; Oxalobacteraceae
Description: bacterial SSU rRNA
Rfam family: Bacterial small subunit ribosomal RNA
Source: RNAcentral